UACGGAGGGUGCGAGCGUUGUUCGGCAUCAUGGGGCGUAAAGCGCGUGUAGGCGGCUUGGCAAGUCGGGUGUGAAAUCCCGGGGCCCAACCCCGGAACUGCAUUCGAAACUGCCUCGCUAGAGUCCCGGAGAGGAAGGCGGAAUUCCCGGUGUAGAGGUGAAAUUCGUAGAUAUCGGGAGGAACACCAGCGGCGAAGGCGGCCUUCUGGACGGUGACUGACGCUGAGACGCGAAAGCGUGGGGAGCAAACAGG
RNAcentral lists this ribosomal RNA (253 nucleotides) under uncultured bacterium. RNAcentral describes it as "partial 16S ribosomal RNA". It matches the Rfam family "Bacterial small subunit ribosomal RNA", at positions 524 to 776 of the family's 1533-position model. The record is from RNAcentral.